Long non-coding RNA from Pieris napi, 442 nucleotides. RefSeq lists it as uncharacterized. NCBI's taxonomy places the organism in Eukaryota, Metazoa, Arthropoda, Insecta, Lepidoptera, Pieridae. The record is from RefSeq and is a predicted model, not a curated record. The transcript is spliced from 3 exons.
CGAAUUAGGUGAGACGUUUGGUGGCUAUUGGGGCGCAUUCCCCGACGACAUAUUCAAUAUUAAACCCGAUAAUUAUACAAAAUAUUAUACAUUGAAAACUACACCGAAGACUGUUGAAACCAGUCCAGUAUAUACACAAGAGGAGACGGAAGAAACGAAACAGACAAUAUAUCACACACAAGAAACAUCGACAGAGGGAGAUUUUGUUAGAGUCGAAGUGCCGUUAUUGAAUGUCUCGGGUGAUUUUGGGCUUGAUGAAGUCCCGAAUAAGAAACAAGACAUGGAAGAACUACUUGAUUUAAUAUAUGACGUCGCUCCUCGAAAUCGUGGUAUUUACGAUACAACUGUGUACCCAUUAGUCGAGUUUUCAAUCGAAAAGCAAGAGAAACAAAAUGGCGGACGUAGAUAUGAUCUUGUCUAUGGGAGUGAAUACACACCAGAC